UUUUUUUUUUUGCUAGCAUAGAAUAUUCAUACAAAUCUAAUAUGAACACAUCCAAAAAAAAAUCAGAAAAUAAAAUAUCAUGAAAAAAAUCUAGAAAUAAACUUUUGAUCAAUCCAUAAAACACCAUCGAAAUACGCUACAACAAAAAUUACAAUCCAAUCUACAACAUUGUUCGCCCCUCCGGAGAUAUACCGAACAUCUACAAAAAUAAUCCUCAGAAAUCUCCAAAUAUCAGCUAACAGGGAAUGUGUGGCACCCUCCCAUCUCUUCUUUAGGUUGGUCCGGAACUAAAUACAUGAGCUCAGCAAUGAUUUCUCGUAGUUGGAGGGUGUUUAGGCCGGUGCAAGCUCAUUACGCAACCAGCGUUUCUGCAACGACAGACCAGAGUGUUCAUAACAAGCAUCCCAGACGCUUAAAGCUCUUGAUUUUUUCCAAGUUUCCGUUCUUUAUACGAUUCAAAACCAUGUCAUGGUUAAAAUUGAUA
Molecule: long non-coding RNA, 484 nt
Filed under: Elaeis guineensis (African oil palm)
Lineage: Eukaryota; Viridiplantae; Streptophyta; Magnoliopsida; Arecales; Arecaceae
Description: long non-coding RNA (EGUI_LNC019236)
Source: RNAcentral